CUAGUCAAGCAGGGCCACCUAGAGCAGGUUGCUCAGGACCAUGUCCAGAUGGCUUUUGAAUAUCUCUCCAAGGUGGGAGAAUUUUUUCAUGGAGAGGUUGGUCAAGAGGUUGGCUGAUCCUGCUGGUGCCCCAAGAUAAGCACUGAGGGUCACAGUUUGUUGCUUGGUGAUGUCACAACCCUUCACUCAGUGAUAUCACCAUGUCACUAUCUGCCCUGCAGGUGCCAGUGGCACUGGACCCCAGCUGUGAUGGGGAGCUGAGCAGGGCCUGGUGUCCCCCGUCUAGUGCCUGCAGGGUGCUGGGGUGGCCCAGCACUGGUCAUGCCGGGGCUCUAUGCUGCAGGGGUGAUGGCAGCAGGGUCUGGGAAAGGAUCGUGGCUGAAAGGAUCGCUAGCAAAACAUGAGCUGUUCUGAUGCUUCCUGUAUGUCCCUGAGCCUUGGGCACCUGAGGGGAUGGGUCCUGAGUAGCUCUGCAUGGGGAGCUUAGCAAAGCUGGGGCCCCAGGAAUCAUUGCCUGGAGAUCUCCUGAGGAAGCUGGAGAAGGAUUGGAAAGGAUUUCUACCUGUCAGAAAGUCUUCCCAGAUAUUCAUCAAGAACCCUCUCAUCUUCAGUCUUUGCCCAUUGCCUGUUCACCUCUCUGGGACCACUGGGAUGCAAACGAGGUUCAGAAUUGAAAGUGAGGGCAGAAAAAAAAAAAAAAAAAAAAAAAAAAACAUUUGGAGGUGAAAUUUGGAAUGAAGCACAGUUCCUUAGAGACAGUGGAAUAUAUCUGUGGAAGGCAUUGAAAAUCACAAAGGGAGGACAGACAGGUCAUACAAGAGGGAAGAUAAUCUUGGGUUCCUUGAACUGAUCUCCAAGGGAGCCAGUCUCAUUUCUCUGACCAGAGAGAGAGAGAGAGAGAGAGAAUACAUUAACGGUGAUGAAUACUUCCCUUUAUCUCAUCUUAUCACCUUGUGAACAAGUCAUGUGUCAAAGGAUAUUAAUUUCUGCAAUGACAUUAGGACAUGUCAAUGGACACAAGAGGAUGAAGGGAAACUUUCUUUAUCCGAGAGGAAGCUGUGGGCAUUGCUAUUUCCCUGGCUGGAAAGUGUGCAGUUAAUGACAGGUUGGGUCUAAGACAACAAAUGCAGUAAAAAAUGCCUUAUGUGCCCAAAGGAAAUUUAUAGGGAAAUGUGUUAAUGUACUAAUAAGAUUCAUCUGUAGUUGACAUAUCAAAGAUAAAUGUCAACUUAUCUAUUUGUUAAUGGAUCUA
This is a long non-coding RNA of Cygnus olor (mute swan), 1252 nucleotides long. RefSeq lists it as uncharacterized. The record is from RefSeq and is a predicted model, not a curated record. The transcript has 4 exons. NCBI's taxonomy places the organism in Eukaryota, Metazoa, Chordata, Aves, Anseriformes, Anatidae.